Molecule: long non-coding RNA, 544 nt
Filed under: Equus asinus (donkey)
Lineage: Eukaryota; Metazoa; Chordata; Mammalia; Perissodactyla; Equidae
Description: lncRNA (ENSEASG00005024753.1)
Source: RNAcentral
CAAGACUGGUUGCCUGGUUGGAGUGUUCUUGCAUCUCUUUCACAGAUGGGACAACUCCUCGGCCUUAUACAGGGGGUUCUUCUCACAGAGGUGACAGCGUGGAAACUUAGAAGUGAACAGAACAUCCAGUUUGUUCUCAUAACAACACAAUGUUAGUUUGUACCACGUGUGCUACACAGUACCUAGAAGUCUUCUGGUAACUGCCAAAGCAGUAAAGAAAAUUCCUGAUCCUAUGCCUGAGAGAACUGGAUUUUAAUUCUUCUAUUGUAAAAGAUUUGCUGCCCUAAUGUAGAUUUAUUAAUGCACUACAAAGAUGGGAAGGUUUUUGUUUUUAAUAUAUAGUGUGAGAAUUCAGAGUUCCCAAUACUUUGACUCACACUUUCUCUUUCAUUUUCCGAAGAAUCCAGUUCAACCCCAGUAAUCAUUUAAACAUCGUCCUCUGUUGCUUUCUGGUCAAUCAUCUUCUAUUGCCUCCGUCUCUUGCAGUCAGGGCUCUUUGUAGCUGACAUCUUUUGAAAGUAAUAAUUUCUUACCAGAAGUUCUU